GCGGGUGUGGUGGAACUGGCAGACACGCUAGACUUAGGAUCUAGUGCCUUACGGCGUGGGGGUUCGACUCCCUCCACCCGCACCA
RNAcentral lists this transfer RNA (85 nucleotides) under Thalassobacillus devorans. Its description in RNAcentral is "tRNA-Leu". It matches the Rfam family "tRNA". From Rfam's summary of the family: Transfer RNA (tRNA) molecules are approximately 80 nucleotides in length. Their secondary structure includes four short double-helical elements and three loops (D, anti-codon, and T loops). RNAcentral also lists the same sequence under 6 other names. Lineage: Bacteria; Bacillati; Bacillota; Bacilli; Caryophanales; Bacillaceae. The record is from RNAcentral.